This is a long non-coding RNA of Acanthopagrus latus (yellowfin seabream), 885 nucleotides long. RefSeq lists it as uncharacterized. Lineage: Eukaryota; Metazoa; Chordata; Actinopteri; Spariformes; Sparidae. The transcript has 3 exons. The record is from RefSeq and is a predicted model, not a curated record.
GUUUCCCGCGUGAAAUUAGUGGAUUUCCCUCCAAAACUGUAGAUGUGUAUUUAAAUAGCUGUUGGAUCGUCACUCUGGUUCCAGCGGCUCUACUCUGAGGACACGAAUACGGUGAACAGUGGGACUUGUCUUCAGCUUCAGGUGGAACAGCUCUGACCUGUAUGGUGAUCAGACCCGGAGAGGAGACACACCUGGUCCAACCAGGUGAUGGACAUUUGAAAGGACGAAUCACCAAGAUGAGCCAAUCGAUGGAGACGAGCCGCCACAGGAACCUGAACCUGUACUUCACGAGGGGGAUCAAACAUGGCUGAUAUAUCUGCAGUUCACUGCUCGUUUCUCCAGAACGAGAGCAGCCAGGAGCUGAAAGUUGUGGGCAGAGGAACAGGCUGCUGAGGACGAGUUGGACGACGGUUUCCUGAAAUGAAUCCUGAUUUCCUGUAAAUCUAGUUUUUUGGACUGACAUGUUGUUCUCAGACUGUGAGACUCCCGAACAUCCUCAUCAAAAUAGACUCUUUGGUUUCUGUCCGUCUGUGAUGAAGCAUCAAAUGAGUCUCUUGUGAAACAGACCUGGUUCAGUUUGUUCACUUAAUUCACAUCAUCUUUCUACAAACUCCCCUGUUUUUUAUUGGCAUUUUGCUUUUAUUAAAGCAGAGAAGAUGGAAACAAUUAGGCAGCUACCGACCUACUCAUCCUGUACGAGAAGCUUGGUUUUUUAAACUGAGUACUUACUAAUAACAAAUAGAAGAUGAGACCUGGUGAGCAGAAAUGUACUAAUUUGAAAAAAAAUCAAAUGAGAAAACAUUUAAAAAUAUGUAAUGAAGAAUAUUUUUGAUAUUUUUUUCUUUGUAACCAAAUGGAAUCAAAAUAAAGACAUUUUCUUUGUAA